UCCUCUAGAGAUUCGCCCGCCGCGCGCGGCGGGCGGGGCGGGGGCACGGGGGGCCUACGGGAGGCAGCAGUGGGGAAUUUUGGACAAUGGGCGAAAGCCUGAUCCAGCCAUGCCGCGUGAGUGAAGAAGGCCUUCGGGUUGUAAAGCUCUUUCAGCAGGGACGAAGCGCAAGUGACGGUACCUGCAGAAGAAGCACCGGCCAACUUCGUGCCAGCAGCCGCGGUAAUAAU
RNAcentral lists this ribosomal RNA (230 nucleotides) under uncultured soil bacterium. RNAcentral describes it as "partial 16S ribosomal RNA". It matches the Rfam family "Bacterial small subunit ribosomal RNA", at positions 272 to 526 of the family's 1533-position model. The record is from RNAcentral.